GACGUAGGGUGCGAGCGUUGUCCGGAAUUAUUGGGCGUAAAGAGCUUGUAGGCGGUCUGUCGCGUCUGCUGUGAAAAUCCGGGGCUCAACCCCGGACUUGCAGUGGGUACGGGCAGACUAGAGUGUGGUAGGGGAGACUGGAAUUCCUGGUGUAGCGGUGAAAUGCGCAGAUAUCAGGAGGAACACCGAUGGCGAAGGCAGGUCUCUGGGCCACUACUGACGCUGAGAAGCGAAAGCAUGGGGAGCGAACAGG
Molecule: ribosomal RNA, 253 nt
Filed under: uncultured bacterium
Lineage: Bacteria
Description: partial 16S ribosomal RNA
Rfam family: Bacterial small subunit ribosomal RNA
Source: RNAcentral